Molecule: long non-coding RNA, 1410 nt
Organism: Hyla sarda
Lineage: Eukaryota; Metazoa; Chordata; Amphibia; Anura; Hylidae
Exons: 13
Source: RefSeq, a predicted model, not a curated record
AGGUGAUUGAUGCCCGGUGAGAAGGUGAAAGUGACCUAUACCCCUGUCAGCUGCAGGAAAGGAACCAAGAGACAGGUGACUGAUGCCCGGUGAGAAGGUGAAAGUGACCUAUACCCCCGUCAGCUGCAGUAAAGGAACCAACAGACAGGUGACUGAUGCCCGGUGAGAAGGUGAAAGUGACCUAUACCCCCGUCAGCUGCAGGAAAGGAACCAAGAGACAGGUGAUUGAUGCCCGGUGAGAAGGUGAAAGUGACCUAUACCCCCGUCAGCUGCAGGAAAGGAACAAAGAGACAGGUGAUUGAUGCCCGGUGAGAAGGUGAAAGUGACCUAUACCCCCGUCAGCUGCAGGAAAGGAACAAAGAGACAGGUGAUUGAUGCCCGGUGAGAGGGUGAAAGGGACCUAUAUCCCCGUCAGCUGCAGGAAAGGAACAAAGAGAAAGGUGAUUGAUGCCCGGUGAGAGGGUGAAAGGGACCUAUACCCCCGUCAGCUGCAGGAAAGGAACAAAGAGACAGGUGAUUGAUGCCCGGUGAGAGGGUGAAAGGGACCUAUACCCCCGUCAGCUGCAGGAAAGGAACAAAGAGACAGGUGAUUGAUGCCAGGUGAGAAGGUGAAAGUGACCUAUACCCCUGUCAGCUGCAGGAAAGGAACCAAGAGACAGGUGAUUGAUGCCCGGUGAGAGGGUGAAAGGGACCUAUACCCCCGUCAGCUGCAGGAAAGGAACAAAGAGACAGGUGAUUGAUGCCCGGUGAGAGGGUGAAAGGGACCUAUACCCCCGUCAUCUGCAGGAAAGGAACAAAGAGACAGGUGAUUGAUGCCCGGUGAGAAGGUGAAAGUGAGCUAUACCCCCGUCAGCUGCAGGAAAGGAACCAAGAGACAGUGGACAACCUCCAGACCCUGAAAGACUAGAGUGUCAUGAUUGCCUUUAUGAACCAGAUUCAUAUGUUCAAUGAAUCUAGGGACUCCUUUCCUGGAUCUAAUAGAGUAAACGUGUUCCCUGAAGCGAGUGUUCAUCGCUCGCUUUGUGCUUCCUACAUAGAAUCUCCCACAGGUACAGUUCAUUGCAUAAACCACCCACUGAGUUCUGCAAGUUAUUAACAUUUUAAUAGGAAUUUCUUCUCCUCCUACAAAGGCUGUUUUGCCUGUCUUAAGGUGUGGGCACCAAAUGCAAGAGCCGCACCUGUGGUUACCCACAGGGCCGGCUCCAGUCAACCAAUCUUUCUUUACAGAUUUUGAAGUGAAGUUGCUACUAGUAACGACAUCUUUCAAAUUUUUGCAACGUCUGAAUGUUACCAAUGGUUUCUCAUUCAAAAUUUUACACAAAUCAUUAUCAUUCAUAAUAAGUGGCCAGUUCUUAUGCACAGCAGAUCUGAUGAUUUUCUCAAGGGGGCUAAAUUUAAAUGAAAAAGAAA